UCCCGCUUUCUCCUCCCCAACCUUGGAUCUUCUUCCAAGCUUCCCAUAACCCACUAUAGAAAUUGGCGAUUCAUCCCUGAUCGGUCAUCGUCUCCUUCUUGUGAUUUCAUUUCAGGGCUUUUCGAAUCGAACCAAGUCGUUCUUAGUGCUGCUGAGCUCCGUCACGUUUCUGAUCUUCAAUUCGAUUCAUCCAGUGCCAGAAUUGUAAGUUUAACUUAAUUUUCACUCCUGUUGCAUCGUUUUCAUCCGAAUGGGGAUGUUCACCUCAAGCAUAUCAAGAAUGAAGGAGCUCUUUGUGGUUCCGGCAACCGAGAUGAGACCAAAACCGGCAUGGCACUUCGGACAACCGUACGGUAAAUAAACUGAGGUCAUGAAUCAUGAUUGGGAGUGGCAGAACAAGCUAUUCAUUCCUUCUAAUGAUCUCCUUUUUCUGUAAGGUUUAAAUCAUAGAUUUUGUACCUCAUAUUGAGAAGGCUCUCAAUUUUAAAACUUUUUGAUGGAUGUAUGCGUAUUACUGCUUUGAGUACGUGGCUACCAUUGCUUAUAAAGUAGAGGUCGAAUAAUGAUAAGUUUUGCACCAGGUUCUUACUUCUUUGUAAUUAUCGAAGCUUCAUAAAGGGAGUUACAAUGGUGUGGAUGUUGCUAUUAAACUUAUGAAAAAACCAAAGAAUAAAUUGUUAAUUCAAAACUACUAUUUUUUCAUAUUCAUAAUUUCUAAUGAUCAAUUUAUAUUGUUAAUUAAAAGAAAUAAGUUAUUAUAAAUGAAGAGACACUCUAAAAUUCCUAUUGUAUAUAUGUUUUAUCAAUACUAAUAUUUUUUCCAACAUCACAAUAAGAGUUAUACGCUUACAAUACUUUCUACAAGUGUAUCAUAAGAAAGUGGCUAAAGGUAUUAUGUUAUUGGUCAAAUUGAUCGCUCUGCUGAAUUUGUAUAUUUUAAUAAUCAUGCAUCUUGUAGAGCUGGAAAUGAUGAAAGAAUGAUUUUCAAAGAUUUUGCUAGGCAAAGAUAUGUCAGGAACAGGCAAAGGAGCCUCACCAAUGUUACUUUCUCUAAUGCCAUGAGCACACGUCCUAUUUCAGGUCACGGUUGGUAUGGUAAUUUUCUACGUAUCAUUUUUUUAAGUAUGAUUAGUGAUUAAACUAUAGAGCUUACUUUCUAAACUUAUUAACUUAGAUAAAAUGAGUUUCUUCUGUUUGUACCAUUGUAGGCAGGCAACUAUUCUAGUUGAAAAUCCUAGCCAUUUAAGCUCACCAAAAAUAACGGAAAAAGUAGUAGUUUUUGGAGGUUUGGGUGUCUCUCUCCUCAUUUGGUGUGGUUUCCUAAUUUGUUGCUCACACGUUCUCCUGCCUUUUUUUUUCCUAUAAGAGGGUUCCCCACUUGACCAUAACUACAAUUCAACUGCCCAUUCCCCUCGCCUCCCGUUUUAGGGGUCUGGAGAGGUUCCAUGGGGUUGAUGAUUGGGGUCUGGGAAUGGAUAAAAAAAAUUAGGAUGCAAAAGUUGAAGUCGGAGUCAUCACCUCUCUUGACGGUGAUAACCAUCGUAGUCAGCGAGACCAAGGUCUACCACUGCUAUCUCUGUCGUUCUCAGGUAUGCCUAUCUCUCCUUUCCCAUGGUCGUCCAGUCAAGCGUGUACGUUGUUUUAGAAGCUGCUUCUUUUCCCUUUCUACCACAUGUCUUUUCUUGCACCACACUUGAACUCAGGUCUAAAGCAAUAUACAAACACAACUUCGUGGAAGAAAAGAAAAGAGAGAAGGUCCGCUUAACUGGUUUUGAACAAGCUUUCCGGUGAUUGAACUCCGAAUGAUACUAAGGUUUGUGAUUGAUCUGCGGCGGAUAAAGUGAAAGAGAUUUUUGUUCGCCUUGAAAUUCUUACAGAUCUGAAUUACAUGCUAUUAUUUGCAAUUGCACUAAAGUAAUGUUUGUUUUCUCAAACAGGUGGCACCUUAUGUGAACUCAUUUGAUGAGUUCUCAUAUACAUGUAAAUGUAAAUAAAAACUUUUGUAAUUACGAAGCUAAAAAACCCGUCUCAGCGGACCGGUACAAUACUUUA
Long non-coding RNA from Helianthus annuus (common sunflower), 2052 nucleotides. RefSeq lists it as uncharacterized. The transcript has 5 exons. NCBI's taxonomy places the organism in Eukaryota, Viridiplantae, Streptophyta, Magnoliopsida, Asterales, Asteraceae. The record is from RefSeq and is a predicted model, not a curated record.